AACCUCCUGAGGUCGCACCUGGGGAAAGGCUAAUAUUCUACCAGAAUGGGUGGGAAAGUGAGGCCAGCAGAACUACCUGUUCCGUUCCCCAUUUGCUCAGAAGCUGACGAUCAGAAGAUACUCUGCAAGUAUU
This 133-nucleotide small nucleolar RNA is filed under the name Otolemur garnettii (small-eared galago). The record is from RNAcentral. Lineage: Eukaryota; Metazoa; Chordata; Mammalia; Primates; Galagidae.